RNAcentral lists this ribosomal RNA (492 nucleotides) under uncultured bacterium. RNAcentral describes it as "partial 16S ribosomal RNA". It matches the Rfam family "Bacterial small subunit ribosomal RNA", at positions 28 to 502 of the family's 1533-position model. The record is from RNAcentral.
GAUGAACGCUGGCGGCGUGCCUAAUGCAUGCAAGUCGAGCGAACAGACGAGGAGCUUGCUCCUUUGACGUUAGCGGCGGACGGGUGAGUAACACGUGGGUAACCUACCUAUAAGACUGGGAUAACUUCGGGAAACCGGAGCUAAUACCGGAUAAUAUUUCGAACCGCAUGGUUCGAUAGUGAAAGAUGGCUUUGCUAUCACUUAUAGAUGGACCUGCGCCGUAUUAGCUAGUUGGUAAGGUAACGGCUUACCAAGGCAACGAUACGUAGCCGACCUGAGAGGGUGAUCGGCCACACUGGAACUGAGACACGGUCCAGACUCCUACGGGAGGCAGCAGUAGGGAAUCUUCCGCAAUGGGCGAAAGCCUGACGGAGCAACGCCGCGUGAGUGAUGAAGGUCUUCGGAUCGUAAAACUCUGUUAUUAGGGAAGAACAAACGUGUAAGUAACUGUGCACGUCUUGACGGUACCUAAUCAGAAAGCCACGGCUAACU